Molecule: unclassified non-coding RNA, 288 nt
Filed under: Hevea brasiliensis (rubber tree)
Lineage: Eukaryota; Viridiplantae; Streptophyta; Magnoliopsida; Malpighiales; Euphorbiaceae
Source: RNAcentral
GGAAGGGGAAGAUGUUGGUGUUGUCAAUCAAAAUAGUGAGAUGUAUGUUAAAAUGGGAAUUCAUUUUUUUCCCCUUUGUUUGGUGUCAUGUUUGCAUGGGUCGGGAAAGUUAAAUAGAUGAAUUGAAAAGAAGCAAAAAAUCUUUAUAUUUGUCAUUGGAAUAGUGACGAGAUGUUGAUGGUGUUAUGAUGGGUUUGAUAAAACUCAGAUAUAGGAAUCAAAGUAGGCCCUUGAAUGUUUGUUUGGUAAGCUGAUCUUUUUGAUUUGGCAGGAAACAAUUGUUAGUAU